Molecule: long non-coding RNA, 587 nt
Filed under: Coffea arabica (coffee)
Lineage: Eukaryota; Viridiplantae; Streptophyta; Magnoliopsida; Gentianales; Rubiaceae
Description: long non-coding RNA (CARA_LNC003811)
Source: RNAcentral
CAAAGCCAAUUUAAUGGCCAACAAAUUGUCUAGCACUACUGAUCCUAUGCUUCUCUCAUUCAGUAUCCAAGCUGCACAUUUCUGGCCCAUGUUGUUUUCUGCUGUGACUCCAAUUCCCAUCUUUUGACCUUCCACAUGUUGUCCCACAUACAUAUUUUCAACAGAUUUUCAUCCUCCCCCACUCUUUCCUCAAAUUCUUCUGAUGUUUCUGUUUCUGAGGUGCUCAUCUAAUACUUAGUCUGUUGUGAUUGGCAAUAUUCCUCCCAAUCCUUAAUUGCUUUUCUGACUAUUUCCAUUGGAUGUCUAUCUUUCUCUUCGAAUUCUGAUUCAUUCCUGACUUUCCAAAUCUGCCAAAGUAUAUCCACCGUUAAAGCUAUGUGUUCCAUUCCAUCCUUUCUGUUCUGUACCUCCAUUAACAUGCUCCACCAUCUUCUAAAGUCCCCUGUGUAUUCCUUAAGUCCAUCCCAUUGGAGGGGUGCCAUCUGUCAUAUCAUUUGUGCUUUUCUGCAAUGAAAAAAUAUAUGUUCCACUGUCUCACUGUUUUCUCCACACACCUUGCAGAUCAUGUCCCCCUUUCCUGUUCUUUU